RNAcentral lists this ribosomal RNA (250 nucleotides) under uncultured bacterium. Its description in RNAcentral is "partial 16S ribosomal RNA". It matches the Rfam family "Bacterial small subunit ribosomal RNA", at positions 524 to 773 of the family's 1533-position model. The record is from RNAcentral.
UACGGAGGGUGCUAGCGUUAUCCGGAAUCACUGGGCGUAAAGGGCGCGUAGGCGGUCUGUUAAGUCUGAUGUUAAAGACUGGGGCUCAACCCCAGCAAUGCGUUGGAUACUGGCAGACUCGACGGUUGGAGAGGCGAGUGGAAUUACCAGUGUAGCGGUGGAAUGCGUAGAUACUGGUAGGAACACCCAUUGCGAAGGCAGCUCGCUGGACAACACGUGACGCUGAGGCGCGAAAGUGUGGGGAGCAAAC